RNAcentral lists this ribosomal RNA (495 nucleotides) under uncultured bacterium. Its description in RNAcentral is "partial 16S ribosomal RNA". It matches the Rfam family "Bacterial small subunit ribosomal RNA", at positions 28 to 507 of the family's 1533-position model. The record is from RNAcentral.
GACGAACGCUGGCGGCGUGCCUAAUACAUGCAAGUAGAACGCUGAAGGAGGAGCUUGCUCUUCUGGAUGAGUUGCGAACGGGUGAGUAACGCGUAGGUAACCUGCCUGGUAGCGGGGGAUAACUAUUGGAAACGAUAGCUAAUACCGCAUAAAAUUGAUUAUUGCAUGAUAGUCAAUUAAAAGUUGCAAUUGCAUCACUACCAGAUGGACCUGCGUUGUAUUAGCUAGUUGGUGAGGUAACGGCUCACCAAGGCAACGAUACAUAGCCGACCUGAGAGGGGGAUCGGCCAAACUGGGACUGAGACACGGCCCAGACGCCUACGGGAGGCAGCAGUAGGGAAUCUUCGGCAAUGGACGGAAGUCUGACCGAGCAACGCCGCGUGAGUGAAGAAGGUUUUCGGAUCGUAAAGCUCUGUUGUAAGAGAAGAACGAGUGUGAGAGUGGAAAGUUCACACUGUGACGGUAUCUUACCAGAAAGGGACGGCUAACUACGUG